AUGAAGUUCCCUGACAAUUUUUUACAUGUCCCCAACACAAGCUUUGACGAAUGCACGACUGAGUGUAGCAACAAUUGCUCGUGUAUAGCCCACGCCUACACCAAAUUGAGCAGUAAUGGUGCUAUGGCCGACCAGUCAAAUUGCUUGCUUUGGACAGGGGAGCUUGUCGAUACAGGGAAGUAUAGCAACAAUGACAAGAACCUGUACCUCCGGCUUGCUAACUCUCCUGCAAGCAAACAAAAGAAGAAGGAAAUCCACAACGGACCAAUGCCAGGAUACCUUAGCUCAUCUAAUGAAGUUGGUGGUAAACAUGUGGACUUUCCUUUUGUUAGCUUUGAAGAUAUUGCCACGGCAACGGAUAAUUUCUCGGACUCUAAACAAAUCGGAAGUGGUGGUUUUGGAAAAGUUUAUAAGGGUAUCCUGCAAGGGAACACUGAAGUUGCUAUCAAAAGACUCAGUAAGGGUUCUGGGCAAGGGAUGGAGGAGUUUAAAAAUGAGAUAAUUCUAAUUGCAAAAUUGCAGCACAAAAACCUUGUUAGACUUCUUGGUUGCUGUAUUCAUGGAGAUGAGAGGUUACUUAUCUAUGAAUACUUACCAAAUAAAAGCCUGGAUGCCUUCCUUUUUGAUAGCACGAGACAAUAUGUGCUUGAUUGGCCCACACGCUUCCAAAUAAUUAAAGGGGUGGCGAGAGGUCUUCUUUACCUCCACCAAGAUUCAAGAUUAACUAUAAUUCACAGAGAUCUGAAACCAAGCAACAUCUUGCUGGAUUCUGAAAUGACUCCCAAAAUAUCAGAUUUCGGUAUGGCAAGGAUCUUUGGUGGAAACAGACAAGCAAAAACUACCCGGGUUGUUGGGACAUAUGGCUACAUGUCGCCUGAAUAUGUUAUGGGAGGUGCCUUUUCUGUAAAAUCGGACACCUAUAGCUUCGGUGUUCUUCUCUUAGAGGUUGUAAGUGGCUUGAAGAUCACCUCACCGCAACUGGCAGUGAACUUUGUCGGCCUGACAACUUAUGCGUGGAGACUAUGGGAAGAUGGAAAAGCAACAGAACUGGUGCACUCUUCGUUUGCUGAGAGUUGUUCACUUCAUGAAGUUCUACGGUGUAUUCAUGUCGGCCUCUUGUGUGUUCAAGACCGUCCGGAUGAUAGGCCACUCAUGUCAUUGGUGACUUUUAUGUUAGAGAAUGAAAAUGCAUUGCUCCCAGCACCAAAGCAGCCUGCAUAUUUUGCUCUACAGAAUUUCGAAGCUGAAAAAUCAAGGGAAUACUCUGUGAAUACAGUGAGUAUCACAACACUAGAGGGGCGUUAA
RNAcentral lists this ribosomal RNA (1305 nucleotides) under Triticum aestivum (bread wheat). RNAcentral's name for it is "partial small subunit ribosomal RNA". The record is from RNAcentral. Lineage: Eukaryota; Viridiplantae; Streptophyta; Magnoliopsida; Poales; Poaceae.